RNAcentral lists this ribosomal RNA (2591 nucleotides) under Staphylococcus aureus M0037. Its description in RNAcentral is "bacterial LSU rRNA". It matches the Rfam family "Bacterial large subunit ribosomal RNA", at positions 327 to 2925 of the family's 2925-position model. RNAcentral also lists the same sequence under 26 other names. Lineage: Bacteria; Bacillati; Bacillota; Bacilli; Caryophanales; Staphylococcaceae. The record is from RNAcentral.
CAUUAGACGAAUCAUCUGGAAAGAUGAAUCAAAGAAGGUAAUAAUCCUGUAGUCGAAAAUGUUGUCUCUCUUGAGUGGAUCCUGAGUACGACGGAGCACGUGAAAUUCCGUCGGAAUCUGGGAGGACCAUCUCCUAAGGCUAAAUACUCUCUAGUGACCGAUAGUGAACCAGUACCGUGAGGGAAAGGUGAAAAGCACCCCGGAAGGGGAGUGAAAUAGAACCUGAAACCGUGUGCUUACAAGUAGUCAGAGCCCGUUAAUGGGUGAUGGCGUGCCUUUUGUAGAAUGAACCGGCGAGUUACGAUUUGAUGCAAGGUUAAGCAGUAAAUGUGGAGCCGUAGCGAAAGCGAGUCUGAAUAGGGCGUUUAGUAUUUGGUCGUAGACCCGAAACCAGGUGAUCUACCCUUGGUCAGGUUGAAGUUCAGGUAACACUGAAUGGAGGACCGAACCGACUUACGUUGAAAAGUGAGCGGAUGAACUGAGGGUAGCGGAGAAAUUCCAAUCGAACCUGGAGAUAGCUGGUUCUCUCCGAAAUAGCUUUAGGGCUAGCCUCAAGUGAUGAUUAUUGGAGGUAGAGCACUGUUUGGACGAGGGGCCCCUCUCGGGUUACCGAAUUCAGACAAACUCCGAAUGCCAAUUAAUUUAACUUGGGAGUCAGAACAUGGGUGAUAAGGUCCGUGUUCGAAAGGGAAACAGCCCAGACCACCAGCUAAGGUCCCAAAAUAUAUGUUAAGUGGAAAAGGAUGUGGCGUUGCCCAGACAACUAGGAUGUUGGCUUAGAAGCAGCCAUCAUUUAAAGAGUGCGUAAUAGCUCACUAGUCGAGUGACACUGCGCCGAAAAUGUACCGGGGCUAAACAUAUUACCGAAGCUGUGGAUUGUCCUUUGGACAAUGGUAGGAGAGCGUUCUAAGGGCGUUGAAGCAUGAUCGUAAGGACAUGUGGAGCGCUUAGAAGUGAGAAUGCCGGUGUGAGUAGCGAAAGACGGGUGAGAAUCCCGUCCACCGAUUGACUAAGGUUUCCAGAGGAAGGCUCGUCCGCUCUGGGUUAGUCGGGUCCUAAGCUGAGGCCGACAGGCGUAGGCGAUGGAUAACAGGUUGAUAUUCCUGUACCACCUAUAAUCGUUUUAAUCGAUGGGGGGACGCAGUAGGAUAGGCGAAGCGUGCGAUUGGAUUGCACGUCUAAGCAGUAAGGCUGAGUAUUAGGCAAAUCCGGUACUCGUUAAGGCUGAGCUGUGAUGGGGAGAAGACAUUGUGUCUUCGAGUCGUUGAUUUCACACUGCCGAGAAAAGCCUCUAGAUAGAAAAUAGGUGCCCGUACCGCAAACCGACACAGGUAGUCAAGAUGAGAAUUCUAAGGUGAGCGAGCGAACUCUCGUUAAGGAACUCGGCAAAAUGACCCCGUAACUUCGGGAGAAGGGGUGCUCUUUAGGGUUAACGCCCAGAAGAGCCGCAGUGAAUAGGCCCAAGCGACUGUUUAUCAAAAACACAGGUCUCUGCUAAACCGUAAGGUGAUGUAUAGGGGCUGACGCCUGCCCGGUGCUGGAAGGUUAAGAGGAGUGGUUAGCUUCUGCGAAGCUACGAAUCGAAGCCCCAGUAAACGGCGGCCGUAACUAUAACGGUCCUAAGGUAGCGAAAUUCCUUGUCGGGUAAGUUCCGACCCGCACGAAAGGCGUAACGAUUUGGGCACUGUCUCAACGAGAGACUCGGUGAAAUCAUAGUACCUGUGAAGAUGCAGGUUACCCGCGACAGGACGGAAAGACCCCGUGGAGCUUUACUGUAGCCUGAUAUUGAAAUUCGGCACAGCUUGUACAGGAUAGGUAGGAGCCUUUGAAACGUGAGCGCUAGCUUACGUGGAGGCGCUGGUGGGAUACUACCCUAGCUGUGUUGGCUUUCUAACCCGCACCACUUAUCGUGGUGGGAGACAGUGUCAGGCGGGCAGUUUGACUGGGGCGGUCGCCUCCUAAAAGGUAACGGAGGCGCUCAAAGGUUCCCUCAGAAUGGUUGGAAAUCAUUCAUAGAGUGUAAAGGCAUAAGGGAGCUUGACUGCGAGACCUACAAGUCGAGCAGGGUCGAAAGACGGACUUAGUGAUCCGGUGGUUCCGCAUGGAAGGGCCAUCGCUCAACGGAUAAAAGCUACCCCGGGGAUAACAGGCUUAUCUCCCCCAAGAGUUCACAUCGACGGGGAGGUUUGGCACCUCGAUGUCGGCUCAUCGCAUCCUGGGGCUGUAGUCGGUCCCAAGGGUUGGGCUGUUCGCCCAUUAAAGCGGUACGCGAGCUGGGUUCAGAACGUCGUGAGACAGUUCGGUCCCUAUCCGUCGUGGGCGUAGGAAAUUUGAGAGGAGCUGUCCUUAGUACGAGAGGACCGGGAUGGACAUACCUCUGGUGUACCAGUUGUCGUGCCAACGGCAUAGCUGGGUAGCUAUGUGUGGACGGGAUAAGUGCUGAAAGCAUCUAAGCAUGAAGCCCCCCUCAAGAUGAGAUUUCCCAACUUCGGUUAUAAGAUCCCUCAAAGAUGAUGAGGUUAAUAGGUUCGAGGUGGAAGCAUGGUGACAUGUGGAGCUGACGAAUACUAAUCGAUCGAAGACUUAAUCAA